CUCCCCUACGGGAGGCAGCAGUGAGGAAUAUUGGUCAAUGGGAGAGAUCCUGAACCAGCCAAGCCGCGUGAGGGAAGACGGCCCUAUGGGUUGUAAACCUCCUUUGUCGGAGAACAAAACCCGGGACGAGUCCCGGACUGCGUGUAUCCGAAGAAAAAGCAUCGGCUAACUCCGUGCCAGCAGCCGCGGUAAUACGGAGGAUGCGAGCGUUAUCCGGAUUUAUUGGGUUUAAAGGGUGCGUAGGCGGUCCGUUAAGUCAGCGGUAAAAUUGUGGGGCUCAACCCCGUCAAGCCGUUGCAACUGGC
This 305-nucleotide ribosomal RNA is filed under the name uncultured bacterium. RNAcentral describes it as "bacterial SSU rRNA". It matches the Rfam family "Bacterial small subunit ribosomal RNA", at positions 334 to 637 of the family's 1533-position model. The record is from RNAcentral.